GCGGCGCGAGCCCUGGGCGGCCGGCGCACGCGCGGUGCGGCGGCGCGAGCCCUGGGCGGCCGGCGCACGCGCGGUGCGGCGGCGCGAGCCCUGGGCGGCCGGCGCACGCGCGGUGCGGCGGCGGGCAAGAUGGCGGCGAGCAGGGGCCCCGGUUCCUCCCCAGCGCGGGCCGGGGCGUGCGCUCGCCCCUGCGGACUCAGCCUGGAGGAGUGUGUGUGGGGUGCCUGCGCGGGGGUCUGGAUGUCUCUAGCAGCGGCACGGCAGCCUGAUGCCUCCUCUCGUCUGGGACGCGGGGUCCUUGGGGAGUUCCCUGCUGCCUCCUCUGGCGUUCUCUGCGAGCUCAUAGAUCCCUCCACCUCCUCUCCCCCCCCCCCCCCGCCCCGCUCCCCUGUCUGGUGGGGUGGGAGACCGGUGGCUGCUCCCGCCGAGCUGAGAGCCACGUAGGGCACCCCUAUGUGCUCGCUACGCAUCUGGGAUGGCACCCCUGCCCUGAGGGCCCCGCAGAGUCCCACCCUUCCUGCAACCAGCCCCCCCAGAGCCAUUAAACCACCCACAAAUCCUGCCCCAACACCCCCACAGGCCCCAAAACGCCUCCGAGCCCUGCCGCAAUGUUGUCACUGACUCCAGACCUUCCCCUGCACUCUGUGCAAGGCCCCAAACAUUCCUCAAACUGCUGCCAGACCCAGUGCCCGCAGCAGUGAGGCGUUCUAACAAAGAUGGGGUGCGAUGUGCGUCUCCGCCUCGACUCAGUCCCGCUUUAGAGAAACAGGAAGUUACAGCACUUCCUGGUGAAGAGUGUUGACGGGUGAAUGUGCGGAUGACAAAGAGACUUCUCUCUCUUUUCUUCUGAGCCGCCUCUCAGAAGCCUCUGUGUGUGCACGAUGUGGCUGAUCUGGGAUAAUCGUGCUGUGCGCAGUGCUUAAGGAGAACAUUGCCCUAAAAUGGAGGGCUAAGGAAUAGCCUAAGAAACCUAAAAGGCUCGGGAAGAGCCAAAGAGAACACCGAUGGGCUCUGGGAAGCCCCAGUGAUGCUAGCGAAAACAGCGUGGCUUUUAGGCACCUCCUCAGAGCAGCAGCAAUGUCUCGCUCCAGCCUAUGGGACAAUGGGGACUCUUAAUUACCGCCUUGAAUUACCACAAGUGUUGCAAAAGCAGAAGGGACUAGGGAGCAUGCAGAGCAGGUUAUGGACUAUAUGUCAAGUUUAAACAAGCAACAAGCCCCUCUGCAAACAGAAACAGGUUUAGCCCUAAGUAAUAGACGAAGGUAGCUGUGAGUAACGUGAAGCGAAGCGGUGACGUCAGUCACCCCGAAAGCCUCGGAGAAGCGGUCUGAAAAUCUGGUACCCUCGCGACCUCGGCAGUCUUUUUGGUUUGUUUGGCAGGGUAGCCCACCGAAGGGGGACAUCUCGAAGAGAAGCAGCAAGACCUGGGGAUCCGGUGGUUCAUUUUGGUCGUCGCCUGUGAGGCCAGCAUGCAAGAGUAAGAGGAAGCUAGGAGCAGUCUCAAAAAGAUAUGGAACCGAGGACAGCAAAUGCUGACGAAGAGAAGAGACGGACGAGCGUUUGCUUGCGGUUAAUACCGAAGGGACGGGAUGAAACAAGGAAGCCAGAAUGCAGCGGCCCCUCGAUAUCACCAGGAACUGCUACAGGAGGAGGCGUUCUGGCACGGGUAACUAGGAUUAAUUGCCACGGCUGAAGUUGAAGAGACCAAGAAACGUAAGCCCCGAAGGGGCACAUCUUGAAGAGAGGGGGCUAGACCUAGCGAUCCAGUUGUUCGUUUUGGUCGUCGCCUGUGAGGCCAGCAUGCAAGAGUAAGAGGAAGCUAGGAGCAGUCUCAAAAAGGUAAUAGGUCUGAAAGGGAGACAGGCAAAUCGAGGGCUGUCAUUCCUCCACGUAGUUAAAGACCGAGAGAGUUGUCGGUUAAGCGCAUGCAUACGAGGGUUUGCGAACAGUACCAAUAACACUGAAGCGGAAUAAAAAUAAGGUUUCGUGGAAGAUGGCGUUAGGAAGGUAUUAGGCGACGUGCCCGCCUGCCUAAUAACCUAGCCCUAAUUGCUGUGUGUAACGUUUCCAGACCGUUUACCCUGCAACGUAUGGUGCAAAGUGCCGUAUUAAGACCUUUCCCUUAAGGAAAAGAAGAAGGAAAAAAGGGGGAAAAAGAAAACAGGGUAAAGAGAAAAAGAUCAUGCAUAAACCUAAGCGUUUCACUGGAAGUAAAACGCGAGUUUAUCGCUUCCUUACAGAGAUGGAACCAAGGACAGCAAAUGCUGACGAGGAGAAGAGACGGACGAGCGUUUGCUUGCGGUUAAUACCGAAGGGACGGGAUGAAACAAGGAAGCCAGAAUGCAGCGGCCCCUCGAUAUCACCAGGAACUGCUACAGGAGGAGGCGUUCUGGCACGGGUAACUAGGAUUAAUUGCCACGGCUGAAGUUGAAGAGACCAAGAAACGUAAGCCCCGAAGGGGCACAUCUUGAAGAGAGGGGGCUAGACCUAGCGAUCCAGUUGUUCGUUUUGGUCGUCGCCUGUGAGGCCAGCAUGCAAGAGUAAGAGGAAGCUAGGAGCAGUCUCAAAAAGGUAAUAGGUUUGAAAGGGAGACAGGCAAAUCGAGGGCUGUCAUUCCUCCACGUAGUUAAAGACCGAGAGAGUUGUCGGUUAAGCGCAUGCAUACGAGGGUUUGCGAACAGUACCAAUAACACUGAAGCGGAAUAAAAAUAAGGUUUCGUGGAAGAUGGCGUUAGGAAGGUAUUAGGCGACGUGCCCGCCUGCCUAAUAACCUAGCCCUAAUUGCUGUGUGUAACGUUUCCAGACCGUUUACCCUGCAACGUAUGGUGCAAAGUGCCGUAUUAAGACCUUUCCCUUAAGGAAAAGAAGAAGGAAAAAAGAAAAAAAAGGGGGAAAAAGAAAACAGGGUAAAGAGAAAAAGAUCAUGCAUAAACCUAAGCGUUUCACUGGAAGUAAAACGCGAGUUUAUCGCUUCCUUACAGAGAUGGAACCAAGGACAGCAAAUGCUGACGAGGAGAAGAGACGGACGAGCGUUUGCUUGCGGUUAAUACCGAAGGGACGGGAUGAAACAAGGAAGCCAGAAUGCAGCGGCCCCUCGAUAUCACCAGGAACUGCUACAGGAGGAGGCGUUCUGGCACGGGUAACUAGGGUAAGUAUCGCUAAUGACCGUUAGCAGUUAUUUCGGCCUCCCCGAGGCAGCGCUGAGGACUAAGUAACCUGAGGGGCUCUGGCCUGGGUUAGGGCAGAAGUGCAGGCAGGCGGGAUCAGGCAUUUUCCUCUCAGCUCUCCAAGCUGAAUCCUAGCCCUGAAGGAAAAAGCACUGGGGGGAGGCUACUCGGACACCUGCCACGUCGAGGGCAGGGGCAGGAGCUGACCCUUCCCCGACGGACGGACGGACAGACAGACGCUGGUGCGGCGGUGACUCUUUGGAUAUCGUAGGUAAGGGGAGGCACGCUGGUGCCGAGCUCCAGGGCGGUUUGCCUGAACACGAUGCCCGGGGCAGGAGGUUACGCAUUGUGUCCGGGGCUGGGAGCUGGUCCCCGAGUCCCAUGUACUUGGGAGUGCCUGCGCUUGCCAGGGAGCCCGGUGCUGUUCCCAGAGCUGCGGGGAAUUUCCCUUGCGUUGCCUGGACCCUCGGGGCUCUUGGGGGUGUUUCCCCUCAUCGCAAGGGCAGCCGGAGCCCCUCCAGGGCUGCGUGAGGUCCCCGAACCGCUCCCGGAUUUGCUUUUGGCACUCCGCAGUGUCGCUCGUGUGCCUGGGGCAGCCUGCAGGCGCCAUCCUGUCAGCCGCGUUGAGCCCUGCGGCGUGCCUGGUGACCCCUCUGGUGUGCGCCAAGGCCCUUCCUCUGUAUUUUGGUCUGCCCCAGAGCCCUGCACUUGCCCUCUGAUGCCCUCAGGACCCCUCAGUUCACAUUCUGGGUUGCCCCCGAGCCCUCUGCGUGCCUUUCGGUGCGCCCCGUGGCCCCGUGUGUGUUUUGCGGCAUGCCGCAGAGGUCUCUGUUUAGCUUUUUCUCCUGUCCUGGAGUUUUCUGGGUGCUUCUGGGUGUGCCCCAGGGCCCUCCUUUUGGUGCCCCCAGAGUCACUCUGUUUGCUCUAUCGUUCUUUUUUUUUUUUUUUUUUUUUUUUUUUUUUUUUUUUUUUUCUUGACUUGUGUUGCACCCAGAGCUCUCGAUUUGUUCUCUUGUGCUCCGCAUACUCCCCUUUCCGCACUCUACACCCCAGGCAGGGCUCUCCCUUCAGCUCUCAGCAAGCUGCUGUCAGGAGAGUGGGGGUGCCUCUGCUGCCCUGGCAGCCCCAGCUGUCCCUGAAGGGGCUGAUGGCCAGGCCCCCUGCCCAGUUCCUGCAGGCCCACAGCUGCGGGCCCUGGGGCUGGGAUGAAUGCCAGGGGGAGCUGGGUGGCAGGACAGGCCCCAGGUGGGGCUGAUGGCAAGGGCAGGCCCACAUUUGGGGGCUGGGGCCGCAGUUGGGGGGAGCUGGCGCUGGGGCAGGAGCUGGGCAGCGGAGCUGCCGCGGAGCACGGCCCUUCGGGACCAGCCCGGCGGCCGCCCCGCGGAGGAGGUGAGCGGGGCCGGGGGAGGCGCACUGCAGGCUGCGGGUCCCGCAUGUGCCGGGGGUCCCGGCGGCUGGGAGCGUCCCGGGGCCACGGAGGCGGGGGGAGGAAGGGGGUGCGCCGGGGCUGCGGUGCGGUUUACUGCGCGGUCGGAGGAGCG
Molecule: long non-coding RNA, 4708 nt
Organism: Dromaius novaehollandiae (emu)
Lineage: Eukaryota; Metazoa; Chordata; Aves; Casuariiformes; Dromaiidae
Exons: 5
Source: RefSeq, a predicted model, not a curated record